AAAGAGCCAAAAAGCAAGAAAGACAAUAACAGACAUAAAUUCCAUUAUUUUCGUUUCCUCUGAAAAUCUCCGGCAAGGCUAGCAAUCCACCGGAGGGCUACGCCGCCGGCGACGAUUUUCUCGAGCAAAUUCUGGCUAUUCCUUCUUACUCUAGCCUCCCGGUAACUGAUAUUGGUGCCUGUGCUUCAUCGAAAACGACGUCGUCCGAUUCAGUAUCUGGUGCCUCUCAGCUCCAGCAGCCGCCGCAGCCGUUGGGGUUAAGCUUAGAUAAUGGCCGUGAUGACGUCAGCAGAUCCGGAGCUUUUGCAGUGAAGCACGUACUGAGCAUGAGUAGGCUGGGAGGAGCUAGCGCGGUGGCACAACUUGUUACUGACAUUCCAUUGCAAUCUGUUGAGGGGGACAGUGGUGAAAGUCGAUCCAAUCAGCAUGUCUGGGACAAGUGGUCCAAUGCCGAAACUGAUAGGUUAUGUGCUUUCGCGUUUUAAUGAUUUAACAAACUUUUUAUGAGAACCAGAUAGGGAACCUGAUAUCAAGUCUCAAAGUGCUCGGAACAACAAGUCACAUGUCUGGCACAAGUUCCAAUAAUAUCAGUUAAAGGAACAAUAGAGGGAACAGAUGGCUAUCAGUUCCUCCGGUCACAGUACAAGUCAACUCCUUACAGCUGUUAAAGCUGUUGCUGCACGAUACACGCAACAGUGCAACAGUCACUUUUUGAAGCAUGUUGUGUAUCGGAUACUUGCUUACAUCAUUCCAAUGACCUCACUUAUAUAUUACCAACAUGAGGCAAGAGAUCAAAUACACUUGCAAAAACCCUAAAAUAUCAAUUCUCUCUCAAGUGUGCAACCGCCCUGAUUCUCUAUAAGUCAUUGAAGAACAAAGAAGCAACAGACCAACAGACCAUAUCCCAGCAUUGAGUAUUUCAAGUGUUCUUAGUAUUGUUGUAUCUUUGUUAAUGUCAAUUCACUUGUAACUACUACUUAGCUUAGUUAAUUAGAAGCAUCUCGUAGGAUAUCUUUGUAAAUCAUAAACCGUGUGUUUGUGUUUUGACUAGAGUUAGUCAAAGUGGUGUCUUUUGUAAUAGAGUUAUUACAGAGAGGCUUGCAAUAUAAUUAUUGCAAGUAAGGGAGGAUUAAGAGUUUAAUUCCUAGGUUACAAUAGGUUGUAAUCUGAAGUUUGCUCGGUGUAGUGAAGCUAAAAUAGUGUAGGUUGUAGUUUUUAAUCCCGUGAGCUGAGAGUAACUAGUUUCUCUAUACAGUUUGGUGGACUCUUAGUUUACAACAGAAACAGAACAAGAAGUAGCAAAGCUGAUGGAGGAAGAUGUUGGAGAAGGCAUGCAAUACCUUCAAUCCAAAUCACUCUGCACCAUGCCCAUUUCACUUGCCGCACUUAUCUAUCCUAAUCAGCUAACGGAUGAUCAAUCAGUGGUCAAGCCAGAACCAGCAGCCCCACGUAGACUCCUUACUUAUUGAACGUGCCAUCGCGAACUCCUAAUGGCUUUGCUGCCCACCCUCCUUUAUAUCUGUACCUAUAAUCUCUUGUAUUACACUCUAAAAUCCAUGGCAAAUGCAAUCAAAGUCAGAUGCCACAA
Molecule: long non-coding RNA, 1588 nt
Organism: Nicotiana tabacum (common tobacco)
Lineage: Eukaryota; Viridiplantae; Streptophyta; Magnoliopsida; Solanales; Solanaceae
Source: RefSeq, a predicted model, not a curated record